AGAACGAACGCUGGCGGCAGGCUUAACACAUGCAAGUCGAGCGAGGACUUCGGUCCUAGCGGCGGACGGGUGAGUAACGCGUGGGAACGUGCCCCUUUCUUCGGAAUAGCCUCGGGAAACUGGGAGUAAUGCCGAAUACGUCCCGUAAGGGAGAAAGAUUUAUCGGAGAGGGAUCGGCCCGCGUUGGAUUAGGUAGUUGGUGGGGUAAUGGCCUACCAAGCCGACGAUCCAUAGCUGGUUUGAGAGGAUGAUCAGCCACACUGGGACUGAGACACGGCCCAGACUCCUACGGGAGGCAGCAGUGGGGAAUCUUGGACAAUGGGCGCAAGCCUGAUCCAGCCAUGCCGCGUGAGUGAAGAAGGCCUUAGGGUUGUAAAGCUCUUUUGCCAGGGACGAUAAUGACGGUACCUGGAGAAUAAGCCCCGGCAAACUUCGUGUCAGCAGCCGC
Molecule: ribosomal RNA, 448 nt
Filed under: uncultured bacterium
Lineage: Bacteria
Description: SSU rRNA
Rfam family: Bacterial small subunit ribosomal RNA
Source: RNAcentral